This 442-nucleotide ribosomal RNA is filed under the name uncultured bacterium. Its description in RNAcentral is "partial 16S ribosomal RNA". It matches the Rfam family "Bacterial small subunit ribosomal RNA", at positions 338 to 795 of the family's 1533-position model. The record is from RNAcentral.
CCUACGGGAGGCAGCAGUGAGGAAUAUUGCACAAUGGGCGUAAGCCUGAUGCAGCGACGCCGCGUGAGUGAAGAAGUAUUUCGGUACCGAAAACUCUAUCAGCAGGGGAAAAAAACGGACGGUGCGUGAGUAAGAAGCCCCAGCUCACUACGUGCCAGCAGCCGCGGUAGUACGUAGGGGGCAAGCGUUAUCCGGAAUUACUGGGUGUAAAGGGAGCGUAGACGGCAAUGCAAGUCCGGAGUGGAAUGUGGCAGCUCAACCGUCGAAUUGCGAUGGAAACUGGAUGGCUUGAGUGCAGGAGGGGUAAGCGGAAUUCCUGGUGUAGCGGUGAAAUGCUUAGAUAUCAGGAGGAACCCCGGUGGCGAAGGCAGCUUACUGGACUGUAACUGACGUUGAGGCUCGAAAGCGUGGGGAGCAAACAGGAUUAGAUACCCGUGUAGUC